This 389-nucleotide ribosomal RNA is filed under the name uncultured bacterium. RNAcentral describes it as "bacterial SSU rRNA". It matches the Rfam family "Bacterial small subunit ribosomal RNA", at positions 338 to 719 of the family's 1533-position model. The record is from RNAcentral.
CCUACGGGAGGCAGCAGUGGGGAAUUUUGGACAAUGGGCGAAAGCCUGAUCCAGCAAUGCCGCGUGCAGGAAGAAGGCCUUCGGGUUGUAAACUGCUUUUGUACGGAACGAAACGGUCUGCUUUAAUACAGUGGGCUAAUGACGGUACCGUAAGAAUAAGCACCGGCUAACUACGUGCCAGCAGCCGCGGUAAUACGUAGGGUGCGAGCGUUAAUCGGAAUUACUGGGCGUAAAGCGUGCGCAGGCGGUUAUAUAAGACAGUUGUGAAAUCCCCGGGCUCAACCUGGGAAUUGCAUCUGUGACUGUAUGGCUAGAGUACGGUAGAGGGGGAUGGAAUUCCGCGUGUAGCAGUGAAAUGCGUAGAUAUGCGGAGGAACACCGAUGGNGAG